Molecule: ribosomal RNA, 253 nt
Filed under: uncultured bacterium
Lineage: Bacteria
Description: partial 16S ribosomal RNA
Rfam family: Bacterial small subunit ribosomal RNA
Source: RNAcentral
UACAGAGGUCUCAACCGUUGUUCGGAUUCAUUGGGCGUAAAGGGUGCGUAGGCGGCGGGGUAAGUCAGGUGUGAAAUCUCGGGGCUCAACCCCGAAACUGCACUUGAUACUGCCGUGCUUGAGGACUGGAGAGGAGACUGGAAUUUACGGUGUAGCGGUGAAAUGCGUAGAUAUCGCAAGGAAGACCAGUGGCGAAGGCGGGUCUCUGGACAGUUCCUGACGCUGAGGCACGAAGGCCAGGGGAGCAAACGGG